AAAUUUUGAUUAUACCGAGCUUGUUUACCUACAUUUUUUAGAAAAUAGGGUAGCAAUGCCAGCAACAGCAGUUCAUGUUGCUCAGGGAUAAGAUUGGAAACGAUUUAUCCUCUCAUUUUUAGUAAAGGUAUUAAAUGAACACGAUU
RNAcentral lists this non-coding RNA (146 nucleotides) under Pasteurella bettyae. RNAcentral's name for it is "MoCo sequence". It matches the Rfam family "Molybdenum/Tungsten riboswitch aptamer (Moco RNA motif)". Lineage: Bacteria; Pseudomonadati; Pseudomonadota; Gammaproteobacteria; Pasteurellales; Pasteurellaceae. RNAcentral also lists the same sequence under 1 other name. The record is from RNAcentral.